This is a long non-coding RNA of Oreochromis aureus, 647 nucleotides long. The record is from Ensembl. Lineage: Eukaryota; Metazoa; Chordata; Actinopteri; Cichliformes; Cichlidae.
GAACAAUGGUUGUGUGAGUAGGUGAAGAGCCUGAGAAGUUUUAAUUGUCUGCUACACAAACAGUUGUUUUAAACCUCUACAGAAGAGGUUCGAGUAGUGAUUUUUAGAAGACAAGCCAAGAUAAGCCAGGUGUGCAGCAAACACAGUUGUCUGCUGGAGGACAGGCUGCACAUGUGAAUUUGUCACUGUUUUUUUCCUCCUCCUCUUUUUGUUGCGUUUUUGGUUUUAGUAGGGUCACCUUUUAAAACUGUUUGUUUUUUAUGCUGGGUUUGUUUUUAUUUCUACUGGGCUGGUGCAAUAUUAGUCGGGCAACGUGCAGUCCCUGAGCUGGGCUCUUACCUUAGGGGAAUUAGGUCUUUUAGAGGUGCUCCGUGUGGAUUUGCUGUGAACAAGUUUUAUUAAGAGUGAUUUUAGUGCCACCGAUUAUUGCCUGGACUAAAACACUUAGUGCAUGCGAUAAGUGCUCUGUUGGGCUCGUAUUUAUUUGGGGUGGAUUUCUUUCUUUUAAAGUAACAAGCAUCUGGGACCACCGGGGUAGAGCAAGCCCUCAGGUGAUAGCUGCAUUGCUGGCAGGUUGCACCAAUAAAACUAUACUGCAGUCGUUAGUGACUUUUUCUCUAUUUUGAUGUUUUAGGCCUUUUACAAAC